RNAcentral lists this ribosomal RNA (97 nucleotides) under Prolemur simus (greater bamboo lemur). The record is from RNAcentral. Lineage: Eukaryota; Metazoa; Chordata; Mammalia; Primates; Lemuridae.
GUCGACAGCCAUACCACCCUGAACACACCCGAUCUCGUCUGAUCUCAGAAGCUAAGCAGGGCCUGGUUAGUCCUUGGAAAGGAGAAGGAGGUCGGGG